Molecule: transfer RNA, 73 nt
Filed under: Trichonephila clavata
Lineage: Eukaryota; Metazoa; Arthropoda; Arachnida; Araneae; Nephilidae
Rfam family: tRNA
About the family: Transfer RNA (tRNA) molecules are approximately 80 nucleotides in length. Their secondary structure includes four short double-helical elements and three loops (D, anti-codon, and T loops). Further hydrogen bonds mediate the characteristic L-shaped molecular structure. tRNAs have two regions of fundamental functional importance: the anti-codon, which is responsible for specific mRNA codon recognition, and the 3' end, to which the tRNAs corresponding amino acid is attached (by aminoacyl-tRNA synthetases). tRNAs cope with the degeneracy of the genetic code in two manners: having more than one tRNA (with a specific anti-codon) for a particular amino acid; and 'wobble' base-pairing, i.e. permitting non-standard base-pairing at the 3rd anti-codon position.
Source: Rfam by way of RNAcentral
GUCCCUGUAGCACAAUGAAUAGCGCGUUGGACUUCUAAUCCAAUGGGCAUGGGUUCGAAUCCCAUCUGGAAUG